CUCGUUUCCCAUUCACCACUGCCCCGACACCACUCACCGGCGCCCUCCCCCACAGCCCCUCUCUCCUCCGCUCACCUUAUCCCCACCACCGGGCGAGCUCCUCUCCUCCCCCUCGCCCCAGAUCGAGCAGCAGGUCUGGAUCCAUGGCCACGGCAGCGCGAGCGCUCCCCGUCAGAUCGCUUUCGUUCCCGAGCAGAGGAGGAGGCAAUGUUGCAUGGCUAUCUCGGUGGUCGCGGCGCUGUUCCGCAGCUGGUUCGCCUUCAGCUCGCCGGGGCGGAUGAGGUGAUUCAUUAGGGUUAGUGCCGCCGCCGCCCCAUCCCGCUCCGCAUCGAUGGGUCUCGGGCAAGCCACCCCUUCAUACUCUCUCUGUCCUGUCGCCUCCCAUAGUUCUUCCUCAACCACGAUCGGGGCGGGAUGGACCUGCAUAUCCGUCAAGGUAACUAGCGGGGUGGUGCUCACGGAUCGGGGCAUUAUGAGGUAGGAUCGAUUAUGUGGAUUGUAGCUCUGCAGCGGGCGUUUUGGACGGGAGUGAUAGCCAGGUUCUAUGCUUAUAUUUUAUCUCUUUUUUUAUAAGCUGCAAGUAAUUGCUAUCAUCAUAGACAUUAAGAAAGUAAAUAUAUACUCAUGCAUCAUCUUUUAGGAGAAUUUGAAUGUUAUUUCAAACCGUGAUGUGUUUGUUGGUGCCAUAUGGAUAGUAAAUGAUGCUACUAAGUUUAACAGAUAGUUGUAGAUAUAAAUAAAAUCAGGAGGUCACCAUUAUGUUGAUUUCAGAAUAAGCAUCAUGUCAGUCUUGUAAAUAUCUUUUGUGUUCUGCAGGCUAAUCAUACGCUCUCUUUUGUGCUAUAUUUGGCAAUCUUGUACUACUAUCUUGCAGGUUGUUGGGACAUUUACUCACCCCCAAAUAUGUUUGUUGGUUGAUACACAGGCUUCGGGAAACAAGUAGAAAGCUGCUGCUUUCAUUGGGGACCUAGAUCUUUGUGAGGCUUUUUAAAGAUCUUGACACAGUAUAUGAAAAUGAUUUUCAUAACUCGACAAUUUCGGUAUUUUGGUCAAUUGACUCGGGCUCUCUAAAAGGAUUUCAUAGUGAUUGCAAAGAAGCUUCAAAGCAGAAUCUUUUGAUCCGAAAGAACCUCAUAAUCAAUAAGAGCAUUCGCACAACAUAUGUCCGGGCAAUCAGAUCAACACACCAUUUCAUUUAUAUUUAAAAUCAGUAAUUUCUUGGUUCUUCGUAUGAGUGGCCAUCCUAUGUGAAUUCAGGUUCCUACAAUCUAAUACUAAUGGAAUUGGCCUUCAAAAUUGCAACCAAUAUUAGAGCUGGCGAACGAUUUGCAUUUUAUGUAUUCAUACCAAUGUGGCCUGAAGGAGUCCCUACCUCAGCCUCUGUGCAAGAAAUUCUUUUCUUUCAGUGGCAGGCAUAUUUGGGCGUGACGGGAUUCUCAUGCACUCAUCCGGCGAGAUCCUCCUGAUGAACAAGCGCGGCGUCUUCAUGAACAGCCUGCAAACGGGGGCAUGUUACUACCUGGUACUCAUAUCGAUCUAAUUAAUCUACUUCAUAUUUAGCCGGUUAGAAGAAUCAAGAUCUCUGUAUAUGUAUGCAAGGCAAUAAAAGAAGCGUGCAUUUCUUAUCAAGCUUCAAUGAGAACGAUCUUGUCGUGAUAAUCGUAUCAGUGUGCAAUGUUGUUCUUGCUUUCUUUGUUGAUAUCAGCUUACAGUUACUGGGAGAAAUAAAUUAUCAAAAUGUUCAUGUACAGUGUCAUUAUACCGACAUUGGCUACCUAGCAUAACUCUUAUCAUCUUAAACUAAGUUCUAUAAUUAGAUUAUUGAUUGCUUA
Molecule: non-coding RNA, 1832 nt
Organism: Aegilops tauschii subsp. strangulata
Lineage: Eukaryota; Viridiplantae; Streptophyta; Magnoliopsida; Poales; Poaceae
Source: RefSeq, a predicted model, not a curated record